GAUGAAGAACGCAGUGAAAUGCGAUAAGUGAUGUGAAUUGCAGAAUUCAGUGAAUCAUCGAAUCUUUGAACGCACAUUGCGCCCAUUAGUAUUCUAGUGGGCAUGCCUGUUCGAGCGUCAUUAAGUCCACUUAAGCCCUGCUUAGUGUUGGGAGACUGCUCCAGCGGUGCUACCCUGUAGCUACCCUGCAGCUCCUCAAAGACAGCGGCGGAGUUGUGGUAUCCUCUGAGCUUAGUAACUUGUUCUAGCUUUCGAGUACACCACUUCCCCUGCCGUAAAACCCUUAAUUUUUAAUGGUUGACCUCGGAUCAGGUAGGAAUACCCGCUGAACUUAAGCAUAUCAAUAAGCGGAGGA
Molecule: unclassified non-coding RNA, 355 nt
Filed under: soil metagenome
Description: partial contains 5.8S ribosomal RNA, internal transcribed spacer 2, and large subunit ribosomal RNA
Rfam family: 5.8S ribosomal RNA (bases 1-120)
Source: RNAcentral